AACGUAUGUUCUGAACUCUGAAGUUUUCUUUGAUUUCAUAAACAAUUCCUGAUUUUCUUUUGAGGUGGGAAAAUGAUUCGACUUAGGGUAUUGGUAGAACUAAUUUGAUUUCGUUAAUUGUGGCAUUGUUUUAUCAAGUGUUUAUGGCUGGAUUUCGUUAUUUCAAACCUGGUUGGCUGAAAUUUGGACUGACUACUGUUACUCGUUGCUGAUCCCUUCAUUUUCUAUUAUUUUCACUUUCCAGAUAUAUGUCUCUUGAAAACUUUAUUUGUGCUGAUGAAGCUUAGAAUUGAAGAAUGAAAUGACAAAGAAGAAUUUGAAAGCAUAACUUCUUCUGUUUGAUUAUGUUUUGUAUUUUGAAUUCUGCUAUUACUUGAAGUGUUAUAUUGUUAAAUAGAUCUUUGUAUUAGAAUUUCUCUUAUUAUUUUGGAGCUACUGUACGACUAAUAGGA
Molecule: long non-coding RNA, 452 nt
Filed under: Nicotiana benthamiana
Lineage: Eukaryota; Viridiplantae; Streptophyta; Magnoliopsida; Solanales; Solanaceae
Description: long non-coding RNA (NBEN_LNC012863)
Source: RNAcentral